AAAGAAACUAAGGUUCAGAGAUACUGAGAGACUUGCCAAUUAAUAAAGGGGCAGAGCUGGGUUCAAACACCCAAGUUUCUGACUUGAAACACACCUGUUCCACUACCCCACCAACCCUGUGAAUGUGAGCAGCAUUCACAAUGCCUGGAAGCCCCGAGAGGAAACAGCAGAAUUACAGGACUUCAGAUGCUGAACGAGAGGUUGAUGGAGUGAAGAGUGAGGUGAAGAAAAGCAAUAAUAGAACCAAGAUGAGAAUCGUCUGAAGUACAUUGGCCUACAAAGGACCAGAUUCUGGUUCAAGAUGUUGACGUACCCAGUGGAGAUCCUGAAGGAAUGUGAUGCUUAAAGUCAGAGUUGGGAAGAAACUGGGAGGUUUUACUGGGACUCAGGGUUCAGAACGAAGGAUGGAAGAAGAAUUGGGGGAAAGCCAGGUGUCUGCUGAGCCUCCCAAGUGCCUGGAACUGGCAGGUGGAAGAAAUGCAGCUGAGUUUGCCUUUUUAUAAAGGCUUACCUGAAAGCUCCAUCCAGUGAGGCACAUAGCCAUCCCGACUGCAAGGGAGUCUGGGAAGGUGAGUGUUUUAAGUGUCCUGUCACUAAAGUAGGACACAGCAGGGGGCUUUUGAAUUAUUGGUCCAUAAUGUUUGCCACAUCACUAUGCUACACCACUUUAAAAAUGAAAGAAAGGGGCUGGCCUGGUGGCGAAGCAGUCAAAUUCAUAUGUUCCGCUUUGG
This 731-nucleotide long non-coding RNA is filed under the name Equus asinus (donkey). RNAcentral describes it as "lncRNA (ENSEASG00005033240.1)". The record is from RNAcentral. Lineage: Eukaryota; Metazoa; Chordata; Mammalia; Perissodactyla; Equidae.